UGACUCAGCGUUGUAGCAGAUGAGAACUUCUGCAUGUGGCAUGACUCGGCGUUGUAGCAGAAGUCAGAUGUGUACAGGGUGAACAGAUGAUCUUACAAGUCUCUUUCCUGUUACAUGCCAGCCCCUGCUUCCCCUCUGAGUCGUGUGUGUGUGUGUGUGUGUGUGUGUGUGUGUGUGUGUGUGUGUGUCAAUGCCUGAGUCAUGUAUGUGUCUGAACACCAAACGGGAGAACAGCAGCGCUGGUGCUCCCUCUGCUGGUCAUUCCCCUGCUACUGCAACAGCACCUCUGCUGGUCAUUCCCCUGAUGCUACUGCAACAACACCUCUGCCAGUCAUUCCCCUGAUGCUACUGCAACAGCACCUCUGCCAGUCAUUCCCCUGAUGCUACUGCAACAGCACCUCUGCUGGUGGCUGGAAACCUACAGAAUCAGAAUCAUGUGGAACGGAACUUUUUUUUUUACUCUAACUAGAAUCUAAUUUAGAAUGGAUUUCAGGAGAUCAGUAAACAGAGUGACAACUUUACAGUGGAAAUGGAUAUUACAGCCUGGACCCACAAACUUUGCCUUGGAAAUGGAUAUUACAGCCUGGACCCACAAACUUUACAGUGGAAAUGGAUAUUACAGCCUGGACCCACAAACUUUACACUGGAAAUGGAUACUCAGAGCUCUAGAGAGAGUUCUAUCUAUAAGGCUCUGGAUAUACUUACAGCCUGGACACAAACUUUUUAUGGACUCAAAAAUGAGUUUCCCUAUUCUUGACAACUGUGAGUAACCCUUUGGCUGACCCUCACAGAGACUUCGUAUAUACAGCCAAUGUCCCUCCCGCACACGCACACCGAGAGAGAGAGAGAGAGAGAGAGAGAGAGAGAGAGAGAGAGAGACAGCACUCAGGAGGUUUGGAGUUUUAUUAUUCCCAGCUGUGGUGUGCAAAUAAACAAGUAAACAAAUAAACACUGAAAGUGGAUCUUUAGGACUUCAGGGUAAGAGUGUGAGUGUGUGUGUGAGUGUGUGUGUGCUAGCCUAUGUGUAUGUCUUUAGGACUUCAGCAUAAGUGUGUGUGUGUGUGUGUGAGUGUGUGUGCUAGCCUAUGUGUAUGUCUUUAGGACUUCAGCGUAAGAGUGUGAUGUGUGUGUGUGUGUGUGUGUGUGUGUGUGUGUGUGAGUGUGUGUGUGUGUGUGUGUGUGUGUGUGUGUGU
Molecule: long non-coding RNA, 1193 nt
Organism: Alosa sapidissima (American shad)
Lineage: Eukaryota; Metazoa; Chordata; Actinopteri; Clupeiformes; Clupeidae
Exons: 4
Source: RefSeq, a predicted model, not a curated record